ACUCCUACGGGAGGCAGCAGUGAGGAAUAUUGGUCAAUGGAGGGAACUCUGAACCAGCCAUCCCGCGUGUAGGAAGACGGCCUUAUGGGUUGUAAACUACUUUUAUACAGGAAGAAACGUACCCUCGUGAGGGUGCCUGACGGUACUGUAGGAAGAAGCACCGGCUAACUCCGUGCCAGCAGCCGCGGUAAUACGGAGGGUGCAAGCGUUAAUCGGAAUUACUGGGCGUAAAGCGU
Molecule: ribosomal RNA, 236 nt
Filed under: uncultured bacterium
Lineage: Bacteria
Description: partial 16S ribosomal RNA
Rfam family: Bacterial small subunit ribosomal RNA
Source: RNAcentral